CUCCUCCUCCUCCUCCUCCUCCUCAGCAAACAUUGCUGUGGUGAGUCUCACAUGCAAGUAAGCAGUCAGCUUUCCUUUCUCCCUGCCAGGUGAGAAUGGUAGCCAUAUGCAGCUGGAGAGUUAACUCCAAAGAGGGCCACCUUGUAAUGUAGAGGUAGAGGAAACCAGAGUAACCUACUCUUAGGAUGAGUGGGAGUGGCUAUGGGGUUGCCUUUUCAGGAAAUAGUGGUAUCCCUGAAGUCAUUGUUGAAUCAGCUUUCAAGGAAACAUUGUGUCUGACCCCAACUUGCUUUGCACUUGUGGAGGCUCCUUAAAACCUGUCACUCCUGAAGCCAUUGGCUUCCUGUCUGCCAUAGGGGUCUUUGUUGUCCUUCUGGCUGUCCUUGCACUCUUCAUCAACAAGAAGCUGUGCUUUGAAACCAUAAGAGGCCGUCCACACCUGGAACAAAGAGGGAAGAGGAAGCAGUCUUUGAGAGAAAAGACUGGGGACCACACAGGACCAGGUAAGCAUCACAUUUUAUGUUCUCCUGAGCUAAAAGGUGGUACUCUUUCCAAGGUGGCCCCAUAAGA
RNAcentral lists this long non-coding RNA (570 nucleotides) under Cricetulus griseus (Chinese hamster). Its description in RNAcentral is "lncRNA (ENSCGRG00000025968.1)". The record is from RNAcentral. Lineage: Eukaryota; Metazoa; Chordata; Mammalia; Rodentia; Cricetidae.